GGUUGAUCCUGCCGGAGGCCAUUGCUAUUGGGAUUCGAUUUAGCCAUGCUAGUCGCACGAGUUCAGACUCGUGGCGAAUAGCUCAGUAACACGUGGCCAAACUACCCUUCGGAACACAAUACCCUCGGGAAACUGAGGCUAAUAGUGUAUACCACAGUCCACCUGGAAUGAGGACUGUGUCAAACGCUCCGGCGCCGAAGGAUGUGGCUGCGGCCGAUUAGGUAGACGGUGGGGUAACGGCCCACCGUGCCAAUAAUCGGUACGGGUCAUGAGAGUGAGAACCCGGAGACGGAAUCUGAGACAAGAUUCCGGGCCCUACGGGGCGCAGCAGGCGCGAAACCUUUACACUGCACGACAGUGCGAUAAGGGAAUCCCAAGUGCGUAGGCAUAGAGCCUACGCUUUUGUACACCCUAGGGCGGUGUACGAAUAAGGGCUGGGCAAGACCGGUGCCAGCCGCCGCGGUAAUACCGGCAGCCCGAGUGAUGGCCGAUCUUAUUGGGCCUAAAGCGUCCGUAGCUGGCCGCACAAGUCCAUCGGAAAAUCCACCCGCUCAACGGGUGGGCGUCCGGUGGAAACUGUGUGGCUUGGGACCGGAAGGCGCGACGGGUACGUCCGGGGUAGGAGUGAAAUCCUGUAAUCCUGGACGGACCGCCGAUGGCGAAAGCACGUCGCGAGAACGGAUCCGACAGUGAGGGACGAAAGCUAGGGUCUCGAACCGGAUUAGAUACCCGGGUAGUCCUAGCCGUAAAC
Molecule: ribosomal RNA, 751 nt
Filed under: uncultured Halorubrum sp.
Lineage: Archaea; Methanobacteriati; Methanobacteriota; Halobacteria; Halobacteriales; Haloferacaceae
Description: bacterial SSU rRNA
Rfam family: Archaeal small subunit ribosomal RNA
Source: RNAcentral